UGGGGAAUAUUGCACAAUGGGCGCAAGCCUGAUGCAGCCAUGCCGCGUGUGUGAAGAAGGCCUCGGGUUGUAAAGCACUUUCAGCGAGGAGGAAGGUGGUGAACUUAAUACGUUCAUCAAUUGACGUUACUCGCAGAAGAAGCACCGGCUAACUCCGUGCCAGCAGCCGCGGUAAUACGGAGGGUGCAAGCGUUAAUCGGAAUUACUGGGCGUAAAGCGCACGCAGGCGGUUUGUUAAGUCAGAUGUGAAAUCCCCGGGCUCAACCUGGGAACUGCAUUUGAAACUGGCAAGCUAGAGUCUCGUAGAGGGGGGUAGAAUUCCAGGUGUAGCGGUGAAAUGCGUAGAGAUCUGGAGGAAUACCGGUGGCGAAGGCGGCCCCCUGGACGAAGACUGACGCUCAGGUGCGAAAGC
RNAcentral lists this ribosomal RNA (412 nucleotides) under uncultured bacterium. RNAcentral describes it as "partial 16S ribosomal RNA". It matches the Rfam family "Bacterial small subunit ribosomal RNA", at positions 355 to 760 of the family's 1533-position model. The record is from RNAcentral.